UGGGAAACAGGAAGCAGCUUUUUGUGCUGCUUCAAGAGUCCUUCCUCUAAGGCCCGGGGCCUGAAGGCAGUUUACAAAGGAGGACAGCUGAGAUUCAGAGAGGUUUACUAACUUGCUGAAGAUUACACAGCUCCAAAAUGGUAGAGGAAGGACUCAACUUGAAGGCCUCAGGAUCCUAAUGUCUCAGCCUUCUGGUGAACACAAGCCCAUCAGAACAGAGCUGGGCCUUCACUAGUCUGGACGAUCAGCUGCUCAGAGCCUUGCAUACAGUGGGAGGCUGAGGAAUGUUCUUUCUAGAAGAAUAGGUGCUCCAGGCUGACUCCAUACCUCCCACUGAAUGACAAUUGUUCUAAAGGUAGACAUUCUUAUUUCAUCAUCAAGAAAAGCACUCUGUAGUGAACAAGGGCACUCACGCAAUUGGAUUCAUGGAGAGAUGUUUGUUUUUCUCCCACUUGUUUACUGUUGCUGGUGUUAGAUCAAGUCUGGCCUUUACUAUUCCAUUAAAAAAUGACCAUUUGUGAUUAGAUAUUUACAAAAAUAUAUUCAGAAUGAUAUAUUUCAGAUAUUACAUUUUUUCUAACAGUUCGUUUUAGUUUUGAAUAGAAGCCUUAAAAUACUUGGCCAGGUGCGGUGGCUCACGCCUGUAAUCCCAGCACUUUGGGAGGCCGAG
This 670-nucleotide long non-coding RNA is filed under the name Homo sapiens (human). Its description in RNAcentral is "HSALNT0325219". Lineage: Eukaryota; Metazoa; Chordata; Mammalia; Primates; Hominidae. The record is from RNAcentral.